GAUUAAGUUCCUGCAAUUACAAAACCGCGUAUCAACAAAAUGCAAAACCGCGUAUCAACAUAAUGCAAAGCCGCGUGUGUGAGAUUGCAUAAAUCAUUUUCUGUAGAGUAAAAGCACUCAUGUUUCAAAAUAGAUCUAUUUUUUAUAAAGCAAUCGCAUUUCUGGCUAGUAUAUUUCAGGACGAAUGGAUAAGGAUUGAGCCAAGAGC
Molecule: long non-coding RNA, 208 nt
Organism: Rhagoletis zephyria (snowberry fruit fly)
Lineage: Eukaryota; Metazoa; Arthropoda; Insecta; Diptera; Tephritidae
Source: RefSeq, a predicted model, not a curated record